UGAUUGGACUAGAUUAACAGCCCCAAUCAGGGAUCCCUGGUUGACAGAUAAAAACAGGAGUGUUGCACCCCACUGACAGGGUGUUAGAAGGAUCUUGAGGAUUACUUUUGCACUUCUUGCAUUAUUGGAAAAUUCAUAUCACUCAUUGUGUCAAACAAGAAUUAUGUAGAGCAAUUCUUGGCCAUCUGCUCCCUGCAAGCUUCUGAAAGGUUUUUCAAAAAGCCUCUGUCUGGAAUAAAGCUGAAACCAUCAGCU
This is a non-coding RNA of Chiloscyllium plagiosum (whitespotted bambooshark), 255 nucleotides long. Lineage: Eukaryota; Metazoa; Chordata; Chondrichthyes; Orectolobiformes; Hemiscylliidae. The record is from RefSeq and is a predicted model, not a curated record.